GGGGGUGCACCGGAUUCGAUUGCCGGUGAGCGAAAAGAUAAGCAUACCGCAGACGGAGUGCCUGCGUCAAAAACAUUCCGUUAAAUUUAAAUGCAGAUAGAAAUGCAAGCUACGCUCUUGCAGCGUAAAUUCGUUUUUUAACGAAACGUCGCGCCUGAUUUAUCCGUCGGUUAGGGCCGUGGCGUCAACAAGACGGAACACUCUUGAAAAAAUCGGAAAGCGUUUUUUGAAGAGUAUUUCGCUUUCUGCGGAACGUGAAGCGUGUUUACCCGCCCCGCGUUCUUAAGAAAUAAUAGAUAAACUACGUAUGUAGAAAGUUUUUUGGCAGCCGAGUAAGACGUGAGUUCAACUCUCACCACCUCCACCA
This 367-nucleotide transfer-messenger RNA is filed under the name Christensenellaceae. RNAcentral's name for it is "Scatosoma sp017625565 Standard tmRNA". It matches the Rfam family "transfer-messenger RNA". Rfam says of the family: Bacterial tmRNA, also known as 10Sa RNA or SsrA, is named for its dual tRNA and mRNA-like properties. RNAcentral also lists the same sequence under 1 other name. Lineage: Bacteria; Bacillati; Bacillota; Clostridia; Christensenellales. The record is from RNAcentral.